This is a long non-coding RNA of Hippoglossus stenolepis (Pacific halibut), 658 nucleotides long. RefSeq lists it as uncharacterized. NCBI's taxonomy places the organism in Eukaryota, Metazoa, Chordata, Actinopteri, Pleuronectiformes, Pleuronectidae. The transcript is spliced from 3 exons. The record is from RefSeq and is a predicted model, not a curated record.
AGUCUCCUCUGGAGGCGUGGGUUCGAAUCCCACUUCUGACAUUACUCUUUUGUUUCCAAUAGUCAAUGCGUAGGUCGUUCUCCAUCUAUGACAGCCAAUCAGUCAGUCCGUUUUCCAUCUUUUACGUGACGUCACCGCCACUGACAGCCAAUCGCUUUCCCAGGCUUUGGAUUGAGGGUAUUGUCUGGCCCAUCAGCUGUCACCACCAGCUCAGCCUCCAUCCUUCCUCUCCCCACCACCCUCACAACCACUGUCCCUGCUGCUACAGCCGUGGCUAGGUCUGGAUCACAGGCCACCACCCCAGUUGCACCAGAGCAACCACUGGCUGUGGAUGAGCGUUGUGUUCUGGUUAUGAUGGCACUGCUACGGUGGGGCAGAGGACUGACACUGACCACUCAACAACCUGCAGGCCAAUACUAUUAUGUAAAAAGAAAGUAUUGUUGCAAUAGUUGAUUGCUGAAAUUAUUUUCUUACUAUUUAAUUUAUUCUUUGUAUUUCAUUUAUUGAUUACCUCCACUAAGGAGGUUAUUUUUUCACUCCUGUCUGUUUGUUGAUUGGUUUAUUUUAUUCAUUUCUUCGUGGUUAAUGUUGUUUGGGGUUCUUUGUGUUAAGAUUUACAGUAUAUUUUGUAAUAAAUUUGUACUAUUUUUCUACAGCA